UACGUAGGGGGCAAGCGUUGUCCGGAUUUAUUGGGCGUAAAGAGCGUGUAGGCGGCCAAGCAGGUCCGCUGUGAAAACUCGAGGCUCAACCUCGAGAGGUCGGUGGAAACCGUUUGGCUAGAGUCCGGAAGAGGAGAGUGGAAUUCCCGGUGUAGCGGUGAAAUGCGCAGAUAUCGGGAAGAACACCCGUGGCGAAGGCGGCUCACUGGCCCGAUACUGACGCUGAGGCACGAAAGCGUGGGGAGCAAACAGG
This 253-nucleotide ribosomal RNA is filed under the name uncultured bacterium. RNAcentral describes it as "partial 16S ribosomal RNA". It matches the Rfam family "Bacterial small subunit ribosomal RNA", at positions 524 to 776 of the family's 1533-position model. The record is from RNAcentral.